RNAcentral lists this long non-coding RNA (246 nucleotides) under Olea europaea (common olive). RNAcentral describes it as "long non-coding RNA (OEUR_LNC000712)". Lineage: Eukaryota; Viridiplantae; Streptophyta; Magnoliopsida; Lamiales; Oleaceae. The record is from RNAcentral.
UACAAUUUCUCCUGAAAUAGAGAUUUUGAAAUUCUCACGUUUUCUAAGUGAAAAAGGCCCACAAUCCAAGGCUAAAAAUAUGUCGAAUUGAAGUGGUGAAUUCGGGAUUGAUUCUUUCUUUUCCUGGUGAAGAUGGCUUGAAAGGAGUGGAAGAGGAAAAAAAAGCAGAGGACGACCAAGAAGGCUGGGACCAAGGUGGAUCGAUUCUUUUUCUUCCUUUUUGGCUAUCAAAAGAGGGAAGCCACU